AGUGGCGAAAGGGUGAGGAAUAGAUAGGAACGUGCCUUUGGCUUCGGAAUAGCGUCCCGAAAGGGGCGGUAAUACCGGAUAACGUCUACGGACCAAAGAUUUAUCGGCCUUAGAGCGGCCUAUCUCCUAUCAGCUUGUUGGUGGGGUAAUGGCCUACCAAGGCAACGACGGGUAGCGGGACUGAGAGGUUGGCCCGCCACAUCGGGACUGAGACACUGCCCGGACCUCCACGGAGGGCUGCAGUAACGAAUAUUGGGCAAUGGGCGAAAGCCUGACCCAGCAAUGCCGCGUGUAGGAUGAAGCCCCUCGGGGUGUAAACUACUGUCAGGGGUUAGAAAGCUACGGUUGAUCAACCCCAGAGGAAGUCACGGCUAACUUCGUGCCAGCAGCCGCGGUAAUACGAAGGUGGCGAGCGUUAUUCGGAAUUACUGGGCUUAAAGCGCACGCAGGCGGAAUAUUUAGCGUCUUGUGAAAUCCCCCGGCUUAACCGGGGAAUUGCAGGGCGAACUGGUAUUCUUGAGGCAAGUAGGGGUGCAUGGAACUCUUGGUGGAGCGGUGGAAUGCGUAGAUCUCAAGAGGAACGCCGAUGGUGAAGACAGUGCACUGGGCCUUGUCCUGACGCUGAGGUGCGAAAGCGUGGGGAGCGAACCGGGAUUAGAUACCCCGGUAGUCCAGGCCGUAAACGAUGCCUACUAGGUCGUGGUUGUCCUGAACACACUCACGGCCGAAGCAAAAAGUGUUUAGUAGCACGCCUGGGGAGUUACGUUCGCAAGGCUAAAACUCAAAGGAAUUGACGGGGGCUCACACAACCGUUGGAGCAUGUGGAUUAAUUCGAAGCAACGCGCAGAACCUUACCUGGGUUUGACAUGUAUGGAUGCCUGCUGUGAAAACAGUUAGGUUGCCUUCGGGUGAAACUUACACAGGUGCUGCAUGGCUGUCGUCAGCUCGUGUCGUGAGAUGUCGGGUUAAGUCCUUUAACGAGCGAAACCCUCGCCGUUAGUUGCCAGCGGGUAAUCCCGGGGACUCUAACGGGACUGCCGGGUGUCAAACCGGAGGAAGGUGGGGAUGACGUCAAGUCCUCAUGGCCUUUAUGCCCAGGGCCUCACACGUGUUACAAUGGGUGCUACAGAGCGACGCGAGACCGCGAGGUGGAGCUAAUCGCAAAAAAGCAUCCUCAGUUCGGAUUGCAGGCUGGCAAUUCGCCUGCAUGAAGUUGGAAUCGCUAGUAAUCGCG
Molecule: ribosomal RNA, 1234 nt
Filed under: uncultured organism
Description: bacterial SSU rRNA
Rfam family: Bacterial small subunit ribosomal RNA
Source: RNAcentral